AGGUGGGCCCAAUGUACUCACUGGGUCUUUAGAAAGGAAAGAGGCUGUGGGAGAGUCAGAGAUAGAGACAUCGUGAUGGAAGUAAAGGUCGGAGUGAGGUGCUGGCUGGUUUUGAAGCUGGAGGAAGAGGCCAUUUGACAAGAAAUCUGGGCAGCCUCUAGAAACUGGAAAAAGCAAGAAAGCAGAUUCUCCUCUAGAGCUUCCAGAAGGGAAGACAGGCGGGAAGACAUCAUGGUUUUAGCCCAACGAGAUCCAACUGGACUUCUGACCUCCAGAACUCUUCUGUUGCGUUUACACAGAGAGAGGAUGAGAGAAAGCAAACCAGAAACAUGUUAACCACUGGGGAAUCUAGAAAGAAGAGCUGAAUGAACAUUAGCUCUUACUAGAAAGAGUGAAGGAGAAGAAAAAAAAUAACAUGUAGGAGAAUCGUCCGUCUCCUUCAGCAAUUUCUAUGCUGGCAGUCUAUGAGAUGAUGCCUUUUUCAAGUUCUGUUUGAAUCAAAGUGAGAGUAAAAGUUUUUUCAAAUAUUUUCUGCCAUUUGAACAAGGAAUAAAGAACAGAGCCAUCUUUGCUUCAUGGAAGAUCAGUUAUCUUAGAGAAGUGUACUAUGAACGGAGUAACUCCUAUUUUUUUCCUAUUAUCCACUCAUUGAAAAUCAAUUUUAUAUCCUUGGAGGAAUUAUCCAGCAAUUUGACAAGACUCCCUAGGCUGCCUUCAUACACAGAGGAUGAAGUAUGUAAAGUCUGGACUGCCCUCCAGCCGCAAAGUCUGAAAUUGGCAAAAGGCACAUCCGCUGUUUUAUUUCCUUAAUACUUCACUCAGUCAAAGAAAACUUUUAGGAAAGCAAUGCUAUAAGAUGGUACAUGUCACUAAGAAUGUAUUGUGUGCUAGUCUCCUAAGACUAUUUGAACAUUAUUUUGUGUCUAAUUUGGGAAUAAAAUAUUUCAUUGCUGUGGAACAGUAUUUUGAU
RNAcentral lists this long non-coding RNA (970 nucleotides) under Equus asinus (donkey). RNAcentral describes it as "lncRNA (ENSEASG00005031928.1)". The record is from RNAcentral. Lineage: Eukaryota; Metazoa; Chordata; Mammalia; Perissodactyla; Equidae.